RNA transcript from Lolium perenne, 658 nucleotides. RefSeq lists it as uncharacterized. Lineage: Eukaryota; Viridiplantae; Streptophyta; Magnoliopsida; Poales; Poaceae. The record is from RefSeq and is a predicted model, not a curated record.
AAACCAAACAAAGCAACGAGUUUUUGACAAACCUACACCGAAACCCUCGUCGCCGCCGCCUGCCUGCCUCACCGUCCUCCACCUUCCGCCUCGAACCCCGCCCUUCCCCACCGGCGAGCCUCUCCCAGCCAACGUCUGAGACAAGGUUACCUUAAUAAUGGAGUCAGAUCUGCUCAUUAGGCAGGAGAAAGUGGAGGACAAAGGAGACUAUGAUGUUAGCAAGAGGAUGAUGGACAUUCUUUUCUGGGAUGUCAUCGACCCAAAUGAAGCUGUCUUGGAACCCAAUGAAGUUCUGCUGAAGCGGCCUGCAGUGGAAGGUAAGUUGCAUGACCCAAAAAUCGUUGGCCUGUCAAACGACCUAAAGAAUCAAGAUCAGCAUGCCGUAUAACCGUAUAUAAGCACUGACUUUCUUGUAUUUAUGAAAACAUACUAAUGCUAGAUUAGUUUAUGUGGUUAUGUUCGUAGGUUCGCAAGAAAUAUAAUGAUAUGAUAUAGUAAUUCCUCCAGUUCAAAAUAAUUUCCCAAAAAUGGAUGUAUCUAGACAUGUUUUAGUGUGUAGAUACAUCCAUAUUUGGGCAAUUAUUUUGAACCGGAGGGAGUACUAAACUAAUUGUAGCUGUGUAAACGAAAUUUACUAAGUGCAAUGGUCGAUUUAGUG